Etheostoma cragini (Arkansas darter) is the source of this 117-nucleotide long non-coding RNA. RefSeq lists it as uncharacterized. The transcript has 3 exons. The record is from RefSeq and is a predicted model, not a curated record. NCBI's taxonomy places the organism in Eukaryota, Metazoa, Chordata, Actinopteri, Perciformes, Percidae.
GGGGGGGGGGUGCACUCUGCGAUCGCGGAAGGCUUGUGUCAUGUCAACCGUUGUGUUGCCAUUACUUAGAGUUCUUCAUGGGGGCGACAGAAACUACGCCCUAUACUAUUUUUGUCC